This 58-nucleotide transfer RNA is filed under the name Salmo salar (Atlantic salmon). It matches the Rfam family "tRNA", at positions 8 to 63 of the family's 71-position model. From Rfam's summary of the family: Transfer RNA (tRNA) molecules are approximately 80 nucleotides in length. Their secondary structure includes four short double-helical elements and three loops (D, anti-codon, and T loops). The record is from Rfam by way of RNAcentral. Lineage: Eukaryota; Metazoa; Chordata; Actinopteri; Salmoniformes; Salmonidae.
UGGCUCGGUUGGUAGAGCGUGGUGUUUGCAAAGCCAGGGUUGUGGGUUUGAUUCCCAC